GUGGCUGUAGCUCAAUGGCAGAGCACCUGACUGUGGAUCAGGAUGUUGUGGGUUCAAGUCCCAUCAGCCACC
This 72-nucleotide transfer RNA is filed under the name Chloroflexota bacterium. Its description in RNAcentral is "Chloroflexi bacterium (hydrothermal vent metagenome) tRNA-His". It matches the Rfam family "tRNA". Rfam says of the family: Transfer RNA (tRNA) molecules are approximately 80 nucleotides in length. Their secondary structure includes four short double-helical elements and three loops (D, anti-codon, and T loops). Further hydrogen bonds mediate the characteristic L-shaped molecular structure. tRNAs have two regions of fundamental functional importance: the anti-codon, which is responsible for specific mRNA codon recognition, and the 3' end, to which the tRNAs corresponding amino acid is attached (by aminoacyl-tRNA synthetases). tRNAs cope with the degeneracy of the genetic code in two manners: having more than one tRNA (with a specific anti-codon) for a particular amino acid; and 'wobble' base-pairing, i.e. permitting non-standard base-pairing at the 3rd anti-codon position. Lineage: Bacteria; Bacillati; Chloroflexota. The record is from RNAcentral.